Molecule: ribosomal RNA, 497 nt
Filed under: uncultured bacterium
Lineage: Bacteria
Description: partial 16S ribosomal RNA
Rfam family: Bacterial small subunit ribosomal RNA
Source: RNAcentral
GAUGAACGCUGGCGGCGUGCCUAAUACAUGCAAGUCGAGCGAACGGACGAGAAGCUUGCUUCUCUGAUGUUAGCGGCGGACGGGUGAGUAACACGUGGAUAACCUACCUAUAAGACUGGGAUAACUUCGGGAAACCGGAGCUAAUACCAGAUAAUAUUUUGAACCGCAUGGUUCAAAAGUGAAAGACGGUCUUGCUGUCACUUAUAGAUGGAUCCGCGCUGCAUUAGCUAGUCGGUAAGGUAACGGCUUACCAAGGCAACGAUGCAUAGCCGACCUGAGAGGGUGAUCGGCCACACUGGAACUGAGACACGGUCCAGACUCCUACGGGAGGCAGCAGUAGGGAAUCUUCCGCAAUGGGCGAAAGCCUGACGGAGCAACGCCGCGUGAGUGAUGAAGGUCUUCGGAUCGUAAAACUCUGUUAUUAGGGAAGAACAUAUGUGUAAGUAACUGUGCACAUCUUGACGGUACCUAAUCAGAAAGCCACGGCUAACUACGUG